This is a long non-coding RNA of Equus caballus (horse), 3052 nucleotides long. The record is from Ensembl. NCBI's taxonomy places the organism in Eukaryota, Metazoa, Chordata, Mammalia, Perissodactyla, Equidae.
GGGAAGGCAGUCCUGGAUCAACUGCCACCGAGAGCGAAUGCACCUCUGGGUCAGUUCUUCGAUCACAAAGUCCAAAAUCCGUGUGGUCAAUUACUUGGAGGCACCGGGCCGUCCUGAAACCUUUCCUUGUCUGAGGAGGACCUGAGAUCCCAUGGAGAACUCAAGCCAAAGAGAGAACUGAGCCCAGUGAACAAUUCAGAGAGAUCACCAAAAGGAGGCCAAACGUGGAAAAGAAACAGCUUGGGGAAAUGUGUUUGCUCACAGUGCUUUUGGGGAAAAAAAAUCCACAUUUCCAUCAGCUCUUCGGGAACCCUCCUUUGGAUCACCGCCCUAGCCUGUCACCACCUCAGUAUCAGAGGCGAGCCGUAUGCUACCGUUGGCUUCGGAUUUGGAACGAGGUCACUUGGAAAAAAGCGGUCCCCAUCCUUCCCUACAAAUCCUCCCAACUUCAAAUCUGGAGGAAAAAGUGGGUGAGCAAGCUGGGCCACCCUCCCUCUCUUCCUUUCUUUUCUUCUUUCUUUCUUGUCAAAACUGGCUUCACUGAAAAUGCAGAACAUGUCAAAAUUGACUCCCUUUGCAUCAAUUGGAUUCUCUCCAACAGCACAGAAUUUCUACCAAAUAGGUUAUUUUGUCGCCUUGUGUGAUACGUGAUGCAUGACCAGUACUAACGCUGCCAAAGAAACAAGUCAAAAUUGCCUGAACUUGGAAUUUUUGAUGAAUACGUUGUUUUAGGACUUUGGAAUAUCGACAUUUCCCCUAAGAGGCUUUGAUGCUUUUUUUUUUUUUUUUUUACCAUUUUUGUAGUUCAUAAUGGAACAUCAUGCUUCAUCAUCAGUUUUGAUUUUUCUCAAAAACUGCCUUGCUUUCUUCCUUUGAAAGUUCAGAAAAAUAUCGAAGCUGUAUUUUCUGUUGAUCUUUCAAAUAAUGAGGUGCAAUCUUCACAUAAUCGUUGCUUUUGUAGAAUGAGUUCUUAAAAACUCAAAUUUUUCUUCUCCGCUAUUUUUCUCGCAAAUCACCACUUAUUUAAGUGAAUCAAGACUCUGACCACCCAGAGGCCCCCAAGGGCCCUGGGGAUGUGAAGUGGAGACCCUCACGAGACUGACCUCUGCUCCUUGACCUUCUUGGGCCAAGAAAAUUCUUGCUCAUCCCAUCAUAUCAUCAUUUCAAUGAAGCUUCUUUCACACGCUCGAAUUCAUUUAACCAUAAAAAUUUGGCAUUUUUUGGUUCUAAACAGUGCUCACUAUGGAGGCCAGCAGGAUCACUACAAUUACGGGCCCACCACAGAGCAGCCCUCGAGAGUGUUGAUGGUGUAAAAUUGCAAACAUUUGUAACACGUCACUAAUAGAAGAAAUACGCAGGUAAGCUCUGAAGAGCUAGAGAAAAGUGCCCAGGAAGGGGUACAUCUGUUCUUGGAGAAGCAGCAGAGAUGGGCGUUUCUGUGAGAGAGACAAGUAUCCAGUGAGACUUAGAAUGUGAGGGGAGGUACAGACAACCCAGCUGGCCGUAUGACGUGGAAUUUUUUAUGUGACAGCUCCAUGAGAUGUUAUUGUUCCUGGCAGAAAAGAAAGCAUCUGAAGAGUCCUAAGACAUCAAAGCUCCAGUAUUUACUUGAAAAAGUUGUCCCAGCGGAAAGAAGCCAGACACACAAAGUCACAGGCUGUGUGAUUCCAUUUGCAUGAAGUGUCCAGAGGUGGCAAAUCCAGAGACACAGAUAGCAGACUGGUGGUUUCCAGAGAAGGAUGGAGAAUGACUGCUCAUGGGCACAGCGUUUCCUUUUAGGGUGACGAAGAUGUUCUGGAACUAGGUGGGGUGACGGCUGCACAACAUUGCAAAUGUGCUACAUGUCACGAAUGGUAACUUUUACAUUGCGCUUAUUUCGACACAAUAAAAAAAGUUAAAGCAAAAAGAAAGAGAUGGGCAAGACUAAACUACUGUGAAUAAGGAUGCCCAGCGGGUGAUACAAUCGUAAGAAGCAAAACGCAAGGAAAUGGUUCCUGUCAAUGUCAGGAUGAUGAUUACUUAUUGUACUUGGGGACGUGGAGGGGCUUCUGAGAUGACUAACAAAAGUCUAUGACUGGACCUGGAUGGUUCAGAAAACAAAGGCAGAGAGAGAAAAGUGUUCCAGCAGCUUUAGACAGGAGGCUGUAAUGCAUAUUUUGUUCACUGCCUCUUUUCAUUCAUAUGUACAUGUAUUUGUUCCCAGCCUUGUCCCAGGAAAGAGUGAAAGGAGUCAAGCAAGGACAGAAGCACAUCAAGACUGUUCUGGUCUUAUAUGUCAGUCGGGUUCCUACGUGAUAGUAUUUGGCAGAAAAAGAGGCCUUUUCCCCAAAUGUGCAGACGUUCUAAUGAGACCAAAUCGUGCAACUGCCAUCGCUCGAAAACCAGAGAUUACAUCUUCCUCUCCCUCAACGUUUUUGUUUUCAUUUUUUGGGGUUUUUUGGUGAGGAAGAUUGGCCCUGAGCUAACAUCUGUGCCCAUCUUCCUCCAUUUUAUAUGUGGGAUGCCACCACAGCAUGGCUUGAUGAGCAGUGUGGAGGUCCGUGCCUGGGAUGUGAACCUGCAAACCUCGAGCCACCAAAGCAAAACACACGAACUUAGCCACUAUGCCACCGGCCUGGCCUCUUUCCCUCAACAUUUUUAAAUCUCACUUCUUUAUCAUGAGCCGGGUUGGAAUGACUCCUUAGAUGUGAAGAUGCAUCUUACAGAUAUGGGUGAAGCACGUGGUAUUAUGUUUUAGUUUUUGAGUAUUUGAAGUUUUAGGGCCAAAAUAGUGUUGGGCCAUCAGUCAGGGAAACGUGUGGAAUGUGGGCGGUACAUCUCUAAGGUAAAACGUGGGCCAAUUAAACUGAGAUGAAAAUGGGCUAACGUGAGAAUUUCAAAAGCAACAGGAAACCUUAUACGGGAAGAAUUUGCAUUCACGUGCACAGACGCCAAGGAUACGGAGGAAAAAAUCACAGACAGUCUCGCUGAGGUAGGACAGUCGAAACUAUGAAGUAAAGAGACUUACUAAGGAGAUGUGUGUAGUUAUUUAAAAAUCCUUGGACUUCCACUC